Rhinichthys klamathensis goyatoka is the source of this 280-nucleotide long non-coding RNA. RefSeq lists it as uncharacterized. The transcript is spliced from 3 exons. Lineage: Eukaryota; Metazoa; Chordata; Actinopteri; Cypriniformes; Leuciscidae. The record is from RefSeq and is a predicted model, not a curated record.
UUUUCCAUUUGACUCAUGACUAUUGCGUGUAAUUGAACGAAUUGAGUCUCACAGAAGUGUGUCAAUCUGAUCUGAUCUGAAAUGCUGCAUUCCUGCAGUUGUGCUUCAUUUGUGCAGUGGAAUGUCCUGCGCUGGAGAAUCAGACGGCAGCGUUCACGAGAACACAUGAGGGGUGAGAGGAAGGGCACAGGGGUGUACGGCGCGAACGAGGAGAGAGAGAUUAGCACAACAGCUGGGAUUUUGCAGUUCGCUAUCCAACCCUCUGAAUGAGCAGGUGUUU